RNAcentral lists this ribosomal RNA (423 nucleotides) under uncultured bacterium. Its description in RNAcentral is "bacterial SSU rRNA". It matches the Rfam family "Bacterial small subunit ribosomal RNA", at positions 358 to 772 of the family's 1533-position model. The record is from RNAcentral.
AGAGGCUUCGGCAAUGGGGGAAACCCUGACCGAGCGACGCCGCGUGGAGGAUGAAGGCCUUUGGGUCGUAAACUCCUUUCGUGGGGAAAGAAUGUGUCCGGGGUGAAUAAUCCCGGGCAUUGACGGUACCCCAAGAAGAAGCUCCGGCUAACUCCGUGCCAGCAGCCGCGGUAAUACGGGGGGAGCAAGCGUUGUUCGGAAUCACUGGGCGUAAAGGGAGUCUAGGCGGUUUGGUAAGUGGGAUGUGAAAUGCCCCGGCUCACCCGGGGACCGGCAUCCCAAACUGCUGAGCUUGAGUACAGGAGAGGGUGGGGGAAUUCCAGGUGUAGCGGUGAAAUGCGUAGAUAUCUGGAGGAACACCGGUGGCGAAGGCGCCCACCUGGCCUGCUACUGACGCUGAAGCUCGAAAGCUAGGGGAGCAAA